AAUAGAUACCCCGGGUAGUCCACGCCGUAAACGAUGAGUGCUAAGUGUUAGAGGGGUUUUCCGCCCCUUUAGUGCUGCAGCUAACGCAUUAAGCACUCCGCCUGGGGAGUACGGCCGCAAGGCUGAAACUCAAAGGAAUUGACGGGGGCCCGCACAAGCGGUGGAGCAUGUGGUUUAAUUCGAAGCAACGCGAAGAACCUUACCAGGUCUUGACAUCCUCUGCCAACCCUAGAGAUAGGACGUUCCCCUUCGGGGGACAGAGUGACAGGUGGUGCAUGGUUGUCGUCAGCUCGUGUCGUGAGAUGUUGGGUUAAGUCCCGCAACGAGCGCAACCCUUGAUCUUAGUUGCCAGCAUUCAGUUGGGCACUCUAAGGUGACUGCCGGUGACAAACCGGAGGAAGGUGGGGAUGACGUCAAAUCAUCAUGCCCCUUAUGACCUGGGCUACACACGUGCUACAAUGGAUGGUACAAAGAGCUGCGAACCCGCGAGGGUAAGCGAAUCUCAAUAAAGCCAUUCUCGAGUUCGGA
Molecule: ribosomal RNA, 528 nt
Filed under: uncultured bacterium
Lineage: Bacteria
Description: bacterial SSU rRNA
Rfam family: Bacterial small subunit ribosomal RNA
Source: RNAcentral